RNAcentral lists this ribosomal RNA (571 nucleotides) under Helvella dryophila. RNAcentral describes it as "eukaryotic LSU rRNA". The stretch from base 237 to 390 matches the Rfam family "5.8S ribosomal RNA". Lineage: Eukaryota; Fungi; Ascomycota; Pezizomycetes; Pezizales; Helvellaceae. The record is from RNAcentral.
GGAGGGCCCUGGUCGGAAUCGCAAUUCCUCGGGGCCCAACCUCAAAUCUCUCUCUGCGUACGUCUCCCUGUUGCUUCCCCGGGAGGGUGACAUGCCGCCCGGGGAAGGACCAUCCCUCCCGAGAGCACACGAUGCCAACAAACGCACCUGUAGAACUCACCACCCAAGCCGUCUGAUGGCCGGCGCACCGAUCGGGGCGCAGAGAGCCAGGACGUGAACUGCAAAUGAAUAGAAAAAACUUUCAACAACGGAUCUCUUGGUUCCCGCAUCGAUGAAGAACGCAGCGAAAUGCGAUAAGUAAUGUGAAUUGCAGAAUUCAGUGAAUCAUCGAAUCUUUGAACGCACAUUGCGCCCCCUGGCAUUCCGGGGGGCAUGCCUGUUCGAGCGUGUCCGAGAAGUAGGCUCACGCAGGGAAAUGCGUGGUGGUGUUGGCGGCGGCGGUCCCGACAGGGCGGCCACCCCGGCGGAAUCGAUGGGCGGAUGCCUGCCGCUUGGCAGAGCGUGAUAUUCUUUGCUAUCGCCUCGAGGGCGUCGAGGGGUCCAGCCCAUGCAUCCAUGCACGGCGGGGAAG